GUUAAUUAUUUGUCAUGCUAUACAUGCAAUUGGACGACUGCUUGAAGCCGUGGGCUGCGUCCAAAACCACGUACUUACCUGCUAUAUAGUAGCUGAGAUACAUGUAUUUCACCUACUAUAUGCAUGUAUUUCACCUACUAUUUAGUAGGUGAAAUACUUGUAUAUAGUAGGUGAAAUACUUGUAUAUAGCAGGUGAAAUACAUGUAUAUAGUAGGUGAAAUACAAGUUUUUUGGCUACGAUAUAGUAGGUGAAAUACUUGUAUAUAGUAGAAUAAGUGUAUAUAGUAGGUAAAAUACAUGAAUAUAGUAGGUGAAAUACAUGUAUAUAGUAGGUGAAAUACAUGUAAGUAAUAGGUGAAAUACAUGUAUAUAGUAGGUGAAACACACGUAUUUCAGCUACGAUAUAGUAGGUGAAAUACAUGUAUAUAGUAGGUGAAAUACAUGUAUAUGGUAGAAUACGUGUAUAUAGUAUGUGAAAUACAUGUAUAUAGUAGGUGAAAAACUGGUAUAUAGUAGAAUACGUGUAUAUAGUAGGUGAAAUACAUGUAUAUAGUAGGUGAAAUACACGUAUUUCGGCUACGAUAUAGUAGGUGAAAUACAUGUAUAUGGUAGAAUACAUGUAUAUAGUAGGUAAAAUACAUGUAUAUAGUAGAAUACGUGUAUAUAGUAGAUGAAAUACAUGUAUAUAGUAGGUGAAAUACACGUAUUUCGGCUACGAUAUAGUAGGUGAAAUACAUGUAUAUAGUAGAAUACAUGUAUAUAGUAGGUGAAAUACAUGUAUAUA
Ictalurus punctatus (channel catfish) is the source of this 784-nucleotide long non-coding RNA. Lineage: Eukaryota; Metazoa; Chordata; Actinopteri; Siluriformes; Ictaluridae. The record is from Ensembl.